Molecule: unclassified non-coding RNA, 43 nt
Filed under: Cupriavidus taiwanensis
Lineage: Bacteria; Pseudomonadati; Pseudomonadota; Betaproteobacteria; Burkholderiales; Burkholderiaceae
Description: Tombus_3_III
Source: RNAcentral
AGCGCGCAUUCUGCCUGAGUUGCAGCGCAGCUCCAAACGCCAC